Molecule: ribosomal RNA, 439 nt
Filed under: uncultured bacterium
Lineage: Bacteria
Description: bacterial SSU rRNA
Rfam family: Bacterial small subunit ribosomal RNA
Source: RNAcentral
GACGAACGCUGGCGGCGCGCCUAACACAUGCAAGUCGAACGAGAGAUGAGGAGCUUGCUCUUCAAAUCGAGUGGCGAACGGGUGAGUAACGCGUGAGGAACCUGCCUCAAAGAGGGGGACAACAGUUGGAAACGACUGCUAAUACCGCAUAAGCCCACGGCUCGGCAUCGAGCAGAGGGAAAAGGAGCAAUCCGCUUUGAGAUGGCCUCGCGUCCGAUUAGCUAGUUGGUGAGGUAACGGCCCACCAAGGCGACGAUCGGUAGCCGGACUGAGAGGUUGAACGGCCACAUUGGGACUGAGACACGGCCCAGACUCCUACGGGAGGCAGCAGUGGGGAAUAUUGCACAAUGGGGGAAACCCUGAUGCAGCGACGCCGCGUGGAGGAAGAAGGUCUUCGGAUUGUAAACUCCUGUUGUUGAGGAAGAUAAUGACGGUACUC